CCUACGGGGGGCUGCAGUGGGGAAUAUUGGACAAUGGGCGAAAGCCUGAUCCAGCCAUGCCGCGUGUGUGAAGAAGGCCUUCGGGUUGUAAAGCACUUUCAGUGGGGAAGAAAGCCUUGGGGCUAAUACCCUCGAGGAAGGACAUCACCCACAGAAGAAGCACCGGCUAACUCCGUGCCAGCAGCCGCGGUAAUACGGAGGGUGCGAGCGUUAAUCGGAAUUACUGGGCGUAAAGCGCGCGUAGGCGGUCUGAUAAGCCGGUUGUGAAAGCCCCGGGCUCAACCUGGGAACGGCAUCCGGAACUGUCAGGCUAGAGUGCAGGAGAGGAAGGUAGAAUUCCCGGUGUAGCGAUGAAAUGCGUAGAGAUCGGGAGGAAUACCAGUGGCGAAGGCGGCCUUCUGGACUGACACUGACGCUGAGGUGCGAAAGCGUGGGUAGCAAACAGGAUUAGAUACCCCUGGUAGUC
This 466-nucleotide ribosomal RNA is filed under the name Vreelandella stevensii. RNAcentral's name for it is "partial 16S ribosomal RNA". It matches the Rfam family "Bacterial small subunit ribosomal RNA", at positions 338 to 795 of the family's 1533-position model. Lineage: Bacteria; Pseudomonadati; Pseudomonadota; Gammaproteobacteria; Oceanospirillales; Halomonadaceae. The record is from RNAcentral.